UACGAAGGGGGCUAGCGUUGUUCGGAAUUACUGGGCGUAAAGCGCACGUAGGCGGAUAUUUAAGUCAGGGGUGAAAUCCCAGAGCUCAACUCUGGAACUGCCUUUGAUACUGGGUAUCUUGAGUAUGGAAGAGGUAAGUGGAAUUGCGAGUGUAGAGGUGAAAUUCGUAGAUAUUCGCAGGAACACCAGUGGCGAAGGCGGCUUACUGGUCCAUUACUGACGCUGAGGUGCGAAAGCGUGGGGAG
RNAcentral lists this ribosomal RNA (245 nucleotides) under uncultured Rhizobium sp. Its description in RNAcentral is "partial 16S ribosomal RNA". It matches the Rfam family "Bacterial small subunit ribosomal RNA", at positions 524 to 768 of the family's 1533-position model. The record is from RNAcentral. Lineage: Bacteria; Pseudomonadati; Pseudomonadota; Alphaproteobacteria; Hyphomicrobiales; Rhizobiaceae.